UCUCCCACUCUCGCUCGUACUGCCCCUCCCCUUCCAAUUCAUCUCUCUCUCUGUCUCACUCGCAAUCAGGGCGAAUCCCUCGCAACUCGCUGAAACCCAGCAGCACGGCAGGCUCCAGCCAUGUCCGUCCUUGCGUCGCUUCCCAUGUCGCCGACCGCUUCUACUGCCCGCCAUUGCGCCGCCACCUGCU
Molecule: small RNA, 190 nt
Filed under: Oryza sativa Japonica Group (Japanese rice)
Lineage: Eukaryota; Viridiplantae; Streptophyta; Magnoliopsida; Poales; Poaceae
Description: sRNA Os04g0144266
Source: RNAcentral